GCCGCGGGAAGCUAUAGGCUGCUGUUGCUGUUGUUCGGAAUCGAGUGCGUCGAUCCGUGUCCGACAUCAUUUAAGAGGUAAGAGCAUCACAAAUUGAAGGAAACCAUUUGUACGCUUACAGUUCCUGGUUUGGAUUUUCAAUCCGUUGAUCGAGGGUGCCAACGCACCAUGCUUUCUGUUCGUUUUCCUCUGCUAAUGUCUUGCCGAUGGAAGGUUGUGAACGCUGCCCGCUUCCUGGCCACUGCAGAUGACAAAUUAAGCCUGGAUUAAUCCGUCACAUUUCUCUAUUUCUUACCUUCCUGAAUCCUGUUAUUGGUGGCUUCUCAUUCACGUUCAACAAAUGAUGUUCUGUCUUAGCCAAUCACUUCAGGACGGGGAUGUGCAUGGUGGCCGAAACUGAAGAUUGCCGUAGUUCAUGACUCCGGAAUCACUCCGGCGGGGCUUGUGGCCGCUUCAGGUUGGUGCAGGAGGUCGAGGCUGCGGAGUCACGCGACGGCUGAAGACAUGUGCUGCCGCGCCGCUCUGUAGGGUGAGGCCUACUUAUGCCAUGCGCCGGAGGGCGUGUCCUGCCGCCAGUUGCCGCGGACGAGCCUCGUCGUGAAAUCGCUCCGCCAGAGAGCAUGCUGAUAAUGUUUUGAGAGAGAGAUCGACAGAUAAUAAGCGAGAGAGAUGUAAAGUGAAUUCCAUUCCUUCAUUGAUGAUUGUCACAGAUUAUAUACAUGUUGAGGAGAUACCUCUAGGAGGCGUCGGUUUGUAGGGAUGGGAUCGAGAAGUAAUCGUCGUGCGGCUGAGCGCAACUGCACGUGGGGAACGGGGAUUCCCCUAAUUAAUCGCAUGGACUAAUUAGUCUUAACAGUCUCUAGUUAUCAUCAGAAGUACAGAGGGUUGUGGUAAGCACUCAACCUAUUUGUGUUGUCGGCAAACACGUACGAUCAAGCGCAAUUGUAAGCCAUGCAUCUUAUUUAUUCGUUAUGGUCUAUUGUGCGUCAAGUCCAUGUCUAUAAGCCGAGUGUUG
Molecule: long non-coding RNA, 1015 nt
Filed under: Triticum aestivum (bread wheat)
Lineage: Eukaryota; Viridiplantae; Streptophyta; Magnoliopsida; Poales; Poaceae
Description: long non-coding RNA (TAES_LNC011888)
Source: RNAcentral